This is a long non-coding RNA of Dicentrarchus labrax (European seabass), 3282 nucleotides long. RefSeq lists it as uncharacterized. The record is from RefSeq and is a predicted model, not a curated record. The transcript has 3 exons. Lineage: Eukaryota; Metazoa; Chordata; Actinopteri; Moronidae.
CGUCAGCGGAAGUGUUUGUUGCUAAGCUGCAGCCGAGCAGCGACAGACCGUCAACAACCGACAGACAGGUUAUCUACCGACGGUUUACCGGGUCAACUCUGAUGGUUACCGGCGGCGGGCGGUAAACCGUUUCUACCGACAGACAGCCGACAGACAGCCGACAGACAGCCGACAGACAACCGACAGACAACCGACAGACAGCCGACAGACAGCCGACAGACAACCGACAGACAGCCGACAGACAACCGACAGACAACCGACAGACAGCGGGUAGCCUGCCUCAGCUAAGCGCUGCUGCCGUUAGCUUCCAGCCACUGUAAGGCUACUGUAACUACGGUAACGUUAGUUAAUAUAAUAUAUUAUAAUAUAUAUAUUAUAUAAGUUACGGUAAUGAGCUCGGUCGACUGUCUGCGCAGACUCAGUUAAUCUGUUGUUUAAACUGACGGUUGAUCGAUGAGUUUAAUGCUGUUACCUAAUGAGCUUCUGUGGGGCAAUAGUUGUUACCCCGAGGUUCAGCUGUAGUAUCUGUGUGUGUGUCUGUGGGGCAGUAGUUGUUACCCCGAGGUUCAGCUGUAGUAUCUGUGUGUGUCUGUGGGGCAGUAGUUGUUACCCCGAGGUUCAGCUGUAGUAUCUGUGUGUGUCUGUGGGGCAGUAGUUGUUACCCCGAGGUUCAGCUGUAGUAUCUGUGUGUGUCUGUGGGGCAGUAGUUGUUACCCCGAGGUUCAGCUGUAGUAUCUGUGUGUGUGUGGGGCAGUAGUUGUUACCCCGAGGUUCAGCUGUAGUAUCUGUGUGUCUGUGGGGCAGUAGUUGUUACCCCGAGGUUCAGCUGUAGUAUCUGUGUGUCUGUGGGGCAGUAGUUGUUACCCCGAGGUUCAGCUGUAGUAUCUGUGUGUCUGUGGGGCAGUAGUUGUUACCCCGAGGUUCAGCUGUAGUAUCUGUGUGUCUGUGGGGCAGUAGUUGUUACCCCGAGGUUCAGCUGUAGUAUCUGUGUGUGUCUGUGGGGCAGUAGUUGUUACCCCGAGGUUCAGCUGUAGUAUCUGUGUGUCUGUGGGGCAGUAGUUGUUACCCCGAGGUUCAGCUGUAGUAUCUGUGUGUGUCUGUGGGGCAGUAGUUGUUACCCCGAGGUUCAGCUGUAGUAUCUGUGUGUGUGUGGGGCAGUAGUUGUUACCCCGAGGUUCAGCUGUAGUAUCUGUGUGUAUGUGGGGCAGUAGUUGUUACCCCGAGGCUCAGCUGUAGUAUCUGUGUGUGUCUGUGGGGCAGUAGUUGUUACCCCGAGGUUCAGCUGUAGUAUCUGUGUGUGUCUGUGGGGCAGUAGUUGUUACCCCGAGGUUCAGCUGUAGUAUCGGUGUGUGUCUGUGGGGCAGUAGUUGUUACCCCGAGGUUCAGCUGUAGUAUCUGUGUGUGUCUGUGGGGCAGUAGUUGUUACCCCGAGGUUCAGCUGUAGUAUCUGUGUGUGUCUGUGGGGCAGUAGUUGUUACCCCGAGGUUCAGCUGUAGUAUCUGUGUGUGUCUGUGGGGCAGUAGUUGUUACCCCGAGGUUCAGCUGUAGUAUCGGUGUGUGUCUGUGGGGCAGUAGUUGUUACCCCGAGGUUCAGCUGUAGUAUCGGUGUGUGUCUGUGGGGCAGUAGUUGUUACCCCGAGGUUCAGCUGUAGUAUCUGUGUGUGUCUGUGGGGCAGUAGUUGUUACCCCGAGGUUCAGCUGUAGUAUCGGUGUGUCUGUGGGGCAGUAGUUGUUACCCCGAGGUUCAGCUGUAGUAUCUGUGUGUGUCUGUGGGGCAGUAGUUGUUACCCCGAGGUUCAGCUGUAGUAUCUGUGUGUGUCUGUGGGGCAGUAGUUGUUACCCCGAGGUUCAGCUGUAGUAUCUGUGUGUCUGUGGGGCAGUAGUUGUUACCCCGAGGUUCAGCUGUAGUAUCUGUGUGUCUGUGGGGCAGUAGUUGUUACCCCGAGGUUCAGCUGUAGUAUCUGUGUGUGUCUGUGGGGCAGUAGUUGUUACCCCGAGGUUCAGCUGUAGUAUCUGUGUGUGUCUGUGGGGCAGUAGUUGUUACCCCGAGGUUCAGCUGUAGUAUCUGUGUGUGUGUCUGUGGGGCAGUAGUUGUUACCCCGAGGUUCAGCUGUAGUAUCUGUGUGUGUGUCUGUGGGGCAGUAGUUGUUACCCCGAGGUUCAGCUGUAGUAUCUGUGUGUGUGUGGGGCAGUAGUUGUUACCCCGAGGUUCAGCUGUAGUAUCUGUGUGUCUGUGGGGCAGUAGUUGUUACCCCGAGGUUCAGCUGUAGUAUCUGUGUGUGUCUGUGGGGCAGUAGUUGUUACCCCGAGGUUCAGCUGUAGUAUCUGUGUGUGUGUGUGGGGCAGUAGUUGUUACCCCGAGGUUCAGCUGUAGUAUCUGUGUGUGUCUGUGGGGCAGUAGUUGUUACCCCGAGGUUCAGCUGUAGUAUCUGUGUGUGUGUCUGUGGGGCAGUAGUUGUUACCCCGAGGUUCAGCUGUAGUAUCUGUGUGUCUGUGGGGCAGUAGUUGUUACCCCGAGGUUCAGCUGUAGUAUCUGUGUGUGUCUGUGGGGCAGUAGUUGUUACCCCGAGGUUCAGCUGUAGUAUCGGUGUGUGUCUGUGGGGCAGUAGUUGUUACCCCGAGGUUCAGCUGUAGUAUCUGUGUGUGUGUGGGGCAGUAGUUGUUACCCCGAGGUUCAGCUGUAGUAUCUGUGUGUCUGUGGGGCAGUAGUUGUUACCCCGAGGUUCAGCUGUAGUAUCUGUGUGUGUCUGUGGGGCAGUAGUUGUUACCCCGAGGUUCAGCUGUAGUAUCUGUGUGUGUGUGUGGGGCAGUAGUUGUUACCCCGAGGUUCAGCUGUAGUAUCUGUGUGUGUCUGUGGGGCAGUAGUUGUUACCCCGAGGUUCAGCUGUAGUAUCUGUGUGUGUGUCUGUGGGGCAGUAGUUGUUACCCCGAGGUUCAGCUGUAGUAUCUGUGUGUCUGUGGGGCAGUAGUUGUUACCCCGAGGUUCAGCUGUAGUAUCUGUGUGUCUGUGGGGCAGUAGUUGUUACCCCGAGGUUCAGCUGUAGUAUCUGUGUGUCUGUGGGGCAGUAGUUGUUACCCCGAGGUUCAGCUGUAGUAUCUGUGUGUGUCUGUGGGGCAGUAGUUGUUACCCCGAGGUUCAGCUGUAGUAUCUGUGUGUGUCUGUGGGGCAGUAGUUGUUACCCCGAGGUUCAGCUGUAGUAUCUGUGUGUGUCUGUGGGGCAGUAGUUGUUACCCCGAGGUUCAGCUGUAGUAUCGGUGUGUGUCUGUGGGGCAGUAGUUGUU